This is a non-coding RNA of Betaproteobacteria bacterium, 99 nucleotides long. Lineage: Bacteria; Pseudomonadati; Pseudomonadota; Betaproteobacteria. The record is from Rfam.
GGCGGGCCUCCCCGCGUUGCAGCGUGGUGAAUCUGGUCAGGUCCGGAAGGAAGCAGCCACAGCUACUCACUGCAAGUGCCGGGGGUCAGGCUCGCCACC